RNA transcript from Arachis stenosperma, 1336 nucleotides. RefSeq lists it as uncharacterized. NCBI's taxonomy places the organism in Eukaryota, Viridiplantae, Streptophyta, Magnoliopsida, Fabales, Fabaceae. The transcript has 5 exons. The record is from RefSeq and is a predicted model, not a curated record.
GAAACUCAUAGUCCAAACAAAGUUGAGCUCAUUAAACAUGCCCCAAAGUCCAGCCUUAUACACUAAGACACAUCCAAUUGAAUGAGAAAAGUCUCCAAUUCACUUGUCACUGCAGUUUCUUAAGAGACCACCGCAUCCCGUCAUCCUAGUUGCGCCAUUUCUUGAUCCAUCAGUGUUCAGUUUCAACCAUUUUGGUAGGGGUGGGUUCCAUUUAAUGUGCGCUUCUUCUCUUCUAGCGUUGGAAGCUUCAUAAUUUUCAGCAAGUGAUGAUAAAAACAUCUUGCCAAUUUCUGUCCUGUCUAAUCCCAAAUUGAUGGGUCAGGUUAUCUUCUACCCAUUGUUUGAAGUUGGUACCGACUUGAGGUGCAUUGGGCCACAGUAAGUUUGUCCAAAUUGAAGAGACUUUUGGACAAUUCCUUAAGACGUGAAUGAUAUCCUUAGCAUGUUGCUCGCAAAGUUGGCAAGUAUCCUCACUACCAAAAAUUCGAACUUUCCUUUGGUUGGUGAAAACUCUCUCAUGGAGAUCCUGCCACAUGAAAAAUUUAGCUUUUUGCGAUUCCUCCCAUCUCUAAAUCUAUGUCUAGAGAUUUAUCCUAGGUUCUAACUAUGUUGCUAAGGCCUUGUAAGUUGCUUCUACUGAAAAGUUUUCAUCUGUUGUGUGCUUCUACCCUAGUUUGUCUUCUCUCAGGUCUUUUAUAGGAGUUGGUUGGGUCAGGAUCUUUCGAACAAUUACCUCAGGUUCUUGUGGUUAUUCCAUAAUGUUGUUCUCCAUUAUUUCUCUCCAAAUGGCGCAGUGUUUCUACUCAUGAUCAACCUUGUCACAGUUUAAUAGGUAAUCCAGGCAGUCUAAUCCAAGCAGUGAUCUUGCCUAUGGUGGUGACAAGGGAGUUAAAGUUAGGUUCCUAUAGGCGGAUAGCAAGGUAGUAGUCAUAUAUCUUACAAGGACUGUCCAAGAAGAGUCUUUUUCUUCCGAUUCUGGAGGUUCCAUUGACCCUUCUCUACUGCUGUCCCUACCCUGUUUGCAUAGGAGAUGGUGGCGUUGCUUGUCUCUUCCUGCAUCCACUCUUCAACUCUGGGCACCAAAGAGGAUGUUUCAGAAAAGUCUUCUUCACCUUUUUUACUUUCUUCGUACUGCAUCUUGGAGGUUCCUGUUCUUGGUCAGUGGGAUGGUGGUCAGCCAGAGCAGUCUCCAACCUUCUUGUAAUGGUUCUAUGGCCUGGGUGGGUGGUUCUUCAGCAAUUGUAUAGAGAGAAAAGUCUGUAACAGCUAAUUUUUUGUAUUAAUUUAAUAUAGACCUAAACUCUUUUAACAUAAAUAAAUAAUAUUCUUGUUUUCU